Ochotona curzoniae (black-lipped pika) is the source of this 1557-nucleotide long non-coding RNA. RefSeq lists it as uncharacterized. The transcript is spliced from 2 exons. NCBI's taxonomy places the organism in Eukaryota, Metazoa, Chordata, Mammalia, Lagomorpha, Ochotonidae. The record is from RefSeq and is a predicted model, not a curated record.
GCCUAGGUGUGGCUGUGUAGUGCAGCUGUGUGUGUGUGUGUAGUGCAGGUGUGUGUGUGUGUGUUGCCUCAGGUGUUCCAGUGACUGUGUCCAGCUGCCUCCAAAGCCCCGCCCACCUCUCAGGGUGCCUGGGCCUGCAUCUUCCCGCAGCGCUCAGAGGAAGCAGCACCGAGACACCUGAAGGACCCUUCAGACACCAGGGCCACAACACUGAGGGGAACCCAGCCUUGCCCAGUCCUCCCGGGUGACCCCCUGCCCUCUUUGCAGGCCUGGGAUCCCCGCAAUAACCUCAACAGGGGUGAGGCUGUGCCCUCCGCCUGGCCAUGCCCCACCCACGGUCCUGGGCCACCCCUACUAGGUGGGUCCCUACUGGGUUCCGGGGCAUUGAUGGGCCAGGCUGGCUUCGAAGAGUCUCUGACCGCCCUCUGGCCUGGAGUCCCCCAAUACCACCACAUUUCCAGCUCACCCCCUCACUCCCACCACGCAAAGGGCUAUAGGUCCCCUGCCCUGCCAAGGUCCCGUUUACAAGCUGUGCGGCUGUCCCAGGGCCUGGCCCCUCUCCUCCCUGGGGACAUGGGACCCUCCACGUGCCAGGCCUCUCCACACCCUGGUGUCUCCUGCAAUAACAAGGAAGCGAAAUUCCAACAGUCCACGUGCCCGCCAGGCCCUCUCUCUUCUCUUUCUCUCUUUUUCUCUGUUAAGAUCCUGUUUGGGAGUUGGCUCCCUCGUCGUAGUAUCUAGGAUGUUAGCGUUGGGAAGGGACCGUAGCUUCGUAGCCCUGCCCGCCCUGGGUUUGCAGCCACCAGACUGGCCCCAGACAAACCCUGUCAGGCCACGGCCGCCACCGCCGCCGUUGGCUGGGUCGGGACCCUCUGCCCUUUCUAGGAGAUGUGUUGGUCACAGAUGUUUACCUCAGUUGAUGUUACAGUCAAAGAAACAAACAAAAAAUACUAGCAAAAAAUAACACCGUAGACAUGGAGAUGUAGAAAACAAAAAUACAAAAAAAAAAAAACUUAAAAAAAAAAACCUGUUUCCCCUUGCAGUUCUGUGAAAGUAUACUCUGUGUGUGUGUAUGUGUGUGUGUGUGUGUGCGUGUAUGCUCACACCCUGGGCAGGCCAGGUUGUCCCCAACCUCUGUCCCAGCCCCCGUGUCACCCACACUGCCCCCUGCCCUUCGGUGCUCCCCAGAGAUCCCUCUGAGCUGGCCUGUGGGAUGUGGGGAGUCCCCUGGACAGGAGGCGGGCACAGAGCAGCUACAGGGUCUCCCAUCAGGCCCGUGGGGCAGAGCUACCCCCCGCCAAAGCUGCCCGAUGUGUCCUGAGCCCACGCUGUGGCUGCUGGGACAGUCCUGGCAGCUGGCUUCAGCAUCCAGCUGGGGGCCUGGGGCGGGGGUCUGGGGGGCAGCCCAGGUCCCAGAUACUUGUGUCUCGUCUUCCCCACCCCACGUGUUUGUAAAUAUCCUGACCUCCUUCGCCCACUCCCAGAAGAUUUUUAAAUGUCUUAUUUACUUCUCUAAUCAUGACAAUUGCUAUAAAAUAAACAAAAGUUUAGAAAAAU